UUAGCUGGUUGGUGAGGUAAGAGCCCACCAAGGCGAUGAUGGGUAGCCGGCCUGAGAGGGUGUACGGCCACACUGGGACUGAGAUACGGCCCAGACUCCUACGGGAGGCAGCAGCUAAGAAUAUUCCGCAAUGGACGAAAGUCUGACGGAGCGACGCCGCGUGGAUGAAGAAGGCCGAAAGGUUGUAAAGUUCUUUUGUUGGGGAAGAAUAACCAUGGGAGGGAAUGCCCGUGGGAUGACAUGAACCGACGAAUAAGCCCCGGCUAACUACGUGCCAGCAGCCGCGGUAACACGUAGGGGGCGAGCGUUGUUCGGAAUUACUGGGCGUAAAGGGCAUGUAGGCGGUCUUGUAAGCUUGGCGUGAAAGACCACGGCUCAACCGUGGGAUUGCGUUGAGAACUGCGAGGCUUGAGUGACGGAGAGGGAGCUAGAAUUCCUGGUGUAGGGGUGGAAUCUGUAGAGAUCAGGAAGAAUACCAAUGGCGAAGGCAAGCUCCUGGCCGAUGACUGACGCUGAGGUGCGAAAGUGUGGGGAUCAAACAGGAUUAGAUACCCUGGUAGUCCACACUGUAAACGAUGUGCACUAGGUGCUGGUACGGAUGUAUCAGUGCCGUAGCUAACGUGAUA
RNAcentral lists this ribosomal RNA (626 nucleotides) under uncultured bacterium. RNAcentral's name for it is "bacterial SSU rRNA". It matches the Rfam family "Bacterial small subunit ribosomal RNA", at positions 241 to 862 of the family's 1533-position model. The record is from RNAcentral.